This 441-nucleotide ribosomal RNA is filed under the name uncultured bacterium. RNAcentral describes it as "partial 16S ribosomal RNA". It matches the Rfam family "Bacterial small subunit ribosomal RNA", at positions 339 to 795 of the family's 1533-position model. The record is from RNAcentral.
CUACGGGGUGCUGCAGUGGGGAAUAUUGCACAAUGGGCGCAAGCCUGAUGCAGCAACGCCGUGUGAGUGAUGAAGGUCUUCGGAUUGUAAAACUCUGUCCUAUGGGAAGAAAAAAAUGACGGUACCAUAGGAGGAAGCCCCGGCUAACUACGUGCCAGCAGCCGCGGUAAUACGUAGGGGGCAAGCGUUAUCCGGAAUCACUGGGCGUAAAGGGUGCGUAGGCGGCCUAUCAAGUCAGAGGUGAAAGGCAUUGGCUCAACCAAUGUAAGCCUUUGAAACUGUUAGGCUUGAGUGCAGGAGAGGUAAGUGGAAUUCCUAGUGUAGAGGUGAAAUUCGUAGAUAUUAGGAGGAACACCAGUGGCGAAGGCGACUUACUGGACUGUAACUGACGCUGAGGCACGAAAGCGUGGGGAGCGAACAGGAUUAGAUACCCUCGUAGUC